CCAGAUGCUUUUAUUCUACAUAGAACAGAAUUAAAAUGUAGAAAUAUUUAGAUUACAGUCCAUGAGAUAAGUACAGUAUAACAUUUGCACUGUUAGAUCUAGUAGAUACUAUUUUAAAAUGAUUACAAGAGAAUUCUAUGCUUACCCACAGUACAUCAUUUUAUGAGAUGGUAGAAAGUAUUUCAUAAUACUACACUAAUUAUAUAUAAGUAUAUGCUUAUAUAAUAAGUAUAUAUUAAAUACUAUAACAUAAUAUAGGUAAUGUGUCCAUUUUGACAUUCUGGCUACCAGUUUCAUAC
This 299-nucleotide long non-coding RNA is filed under the name Bos taurus (domestic cattle). RNAcentral's name for it is "long non-coding RNA NONBTAT001291". The record is from RNAcentral. Lineage: Eukaryota; Metazoa; Chordata; Mammalia; Artiodactyla; Bovidae.